AUGAGUGUCUUCCGUCUCCCGGCUUCGGUUUGUGAUGACCUCACACGGAUGAUGAGACAAUAUUGGUGGGGAGUGGAAAAUGGCAAAAGAAAGAUGGCAUGGCCCAGUUGGGAGAAAAUGGUGUUACCCAAGGAUAUGGGGGGCAUGGGAUUCAGAGAUAUGCGAGCUUUCAACGAGGCUUUGCUUGCUAAGCGAGCGUGGAGAUUAUUGGACAGCCCAGAUAGUUUAUGUGCCCGCUUACUUCGUGCAAAGUAUUACCCCAAUGGGAACCUGUUGGAUACAGUGUUCCCCUCAUCAUCAUCAGUAGUAUGGAGGGGCAUCACACAUGGUUUGGAGCUGCUC
RNAcentral lists this ribosomal RNA (342 nucleotides) under Triticum aestivum (bread wheat). Its description in RNAcentral is "partial small subunit ribosomal RNA". Lineage: Eukaryota; Viridiplantae; Streptophyta; Magnoliopsida; Poales; Poaceae. The record is from RNAcentral.